UUUUGAGAAAAUAAAACAAGUCAUACACCUUUAGUCUAUUCUGGAUUUCGUUGCAGAAUUCAUCCAAACCUUCACCAGUUAAAGCAGAAACACAGACCACAUCGUUUUUUUUUCUUGGCUUCCAACUUGAUUUUCUCAGGGUCCCUAGCUUUAUCAACCUGUCAAAAGAUGGUUAGACGAUUAUGUUGUAAUCUCAGCUUCAGAAGUCAGGAUGACAAAAUAACCAGCAAUCUUUAUCAGCAAGCGGAUAGCUAUUGUGUUAAAUGGAAAGGAAGGGAAGACGAUACCAGUUUCAGUUUGUGCACACAAGAUGCUCAUCUAUUACAUUCAGACCUUGAACAUCUAGUUUAGCUAGGAAAAGCUAUCUUUUCUCAACG
This 377-nucleotide long non-coding RNA is filed under the name Nicotiana benthamiana. RNAcentral describes it as "long non-coding RNA (NBEN_LNC002075)". The record is from RNAcentral. Lineage: Eukaryota; Viridiplantae; Streptophyta; Magnoliopsida; Solanales; Solanaceae.